This 520-nucleotide unclassified non-coding RNA is filed under the name uncultured Glomus. Its description in RNAcentral is "SSU rRNA". It matches the Rfam family "Eukaryotic small subunit ribosomal RNA", at positions 569 to 1087 of the family's 1831-position model. The record is from RNAcentral. Lineage: Eukaryota; Fungi; Glomeromycota; Glomeromycetes; Glomerales; Glomeraceae.
AGCAGCCGCGGUAAUUCCAGCUCCAAUAGCGUAUAUUAAAGUUGUUGCAGUUAAAAAGCUCGUAGUUGAAUUUCGGGAUCAAUAUGUCGGUCGUGCCUUGGUACGUACUGGUAUCAUUGGUCUCUCCUUUCUGACGAACCAUGAUGUCAUUAAUUUGGUGUUAUGGGAAGUCAGGACUGUUACUUUGAAAAAAAUUAGAGUGUUUAAAGCAGGCUUUAGCUUGAAUACAUUAGCACGGAAUAAUGAAAUAGGACGUUCGAACCUAUUUUGUUGGUUUCUAGGAUCAACGUAAUGAUUAAUAGGGGAUAGUUGGGGGGCAUUAGUAUUCAAUUGUCAGAGGUGAAAUUCUUGGAUUUAUUGAAGACUAACUACUGCGAAAGCAUUUUGCCAAGGAUGUUUUCAUUAAUCAAGAACGAAAGUUAGGGGAUCGAAGACGAUCAGAUACCGUCGUAGUCUUAACCAUAAACUAUGCCGACUAGGGAUCGGAUGAUGUUAAUUUUUUAAUGACUCAUUCGGCGCC